AACAAUCUGAUACCAUCCACAAGUUCCAACUCUCCAGGAGCGUCCACUAGGUAGGCAUAGGUAAUGUGAUCUUGCAACUCUCCAUCCUUAACGAUGAAUUGACGUUGCCCAUCAUUGAGAUCUUUACCUGUAACUCGACGAGCUUUGACACACAGUGAUUUAAAUACUUCUGGAUCGGAACGAUCCCUGAACACCAUAAAGUGUCUCAGCUCAGAUGCCAAGUCAGCGUUGGAAAUCCUAAGCCUUAUGCGUUUACCACCCAAACUCACGAGUCCCAAAAGGGAACUAUCAGGUUGCACCUGCAAGCUA
RNAcentral lists this unclassified non-coding RNA (309 nucleotides) under Hevea brasiliensis (rubber tree). The record is from RNAcentral. Lineage: Eukaryota; Viridiplantae; Streptophyta; Magnoliopsida; Malpighiales; Euphorbiaceae.